Molecule: ribosomal RNA, 482 nt
Filed under: uncultured bacterium
Lineage: Bacteria
Description: partial 16S ribosomal RNA
Rfam family: Bacterial small subunit ribosomal RNA
Source: RNAcentral
AUUGAACGCUUGCGGCAUGCCUUACACAUGCAAAUCGAACGGUAACGGGCCUUCGGGUGCCGACGAGUGGCGAACGGGUGAGUAAUACAUCGGAACGUGCCCGAUCGUGGGGGAUAACGAGGCGAAAGCUUUGCUAAUACCGCAUACGAUCUACGGAUGAAAGCAGGGGACCUCAAGGCCUUGCGCGGACGGAGCGGCCGAUGGCAGAUUAGGUAGUUGGUGGGAUAAAAGCUUACCAAGCCGACGAUCUGUAGCUGGUCUGAGAGGAUGAUCAGCCACACUGGGACUGAGACACGGCCCAGACUCCUACGGGAGGCAGCAGUGGGGAAUUUUGGACAAUGGGCGAAAGCCUGAUCCAGCCAUGCCGCGUGCAGGAUGAAGGCCUUCGGGUUGUAAACUGAUUUUGUACGGAACGAAAAGCCUUCUUUUAAUACAGGAGGGUCAUGACGGUACCGUAAGAAUAAGCACCGGCUAACUACGUG